This 93-nucleotide transfer RNA is filed under the name Plectosphaerella cucumerina. It matches the Rfam family "tRNA". From Rfam's summary of the family: Transfer RNA (tRNA) molecules are approximately 80 nucleotides in length. Their secondary structure includes four short double-helical elements and three loops (D, anti-codon, and T loops). Further hydrogen bonds mediate the characteristic L-shaped molecular structure. tRNAs have two regions of fundamental functional importance: the anti-codon, which is responsible for specific mRNA codon recognition, and the 3' end, to which the tRNAs corresponding amino acid is attached (by aminoacyl-tRNA synthetases). tRNAs cope with the degeneracy of the genetic code in two manners: having more than one tRNA (with a specific anti-codon) for a particular amino acid; and 'wobble' base-pairing, i.e. permitting non-standard base-pairing at the 3rd anti-codon position. Lineage: Eukaryota; Fungi; Ascomycota; Sordariomycetes; Glomerellales; Plectosphaerellaceae. The record is from Rfam by way of RNAcentral.
UCCCUGGUGGCCCAGCUGGUUAAGGCGUCCGACUGUUAUAGCAUCUGCGAACAACACAUCGGGAGAUCGACAGUUCGAUCCUGUCUCGGGGAG